GUUAAUAGUUUAACUGGUCUCCUAGUUAUUCAUUCUAUAAAGUCCCGUCAAGUUCAGGGAUGAUGGAAAAAUCAAGGGCUACAGAGAACAUGGACCUAAGACCUGAAAUUUUUUGAGUAAAAAUUAUGAAUUACUACUAAAAAUGAAAAUAUGGUGUAGGUCGCAUUCUCUCUGUUAAAGGGGCAAAAUAGGUCUCUAACCCAUGUUUUCUUUUUAUAUUUUGUUCAAAUAAUAUCUUUAAAUUUUAUUAGUAACUUCCAAAUUCUAUA
Molecule: long non-coding RNA, 269 nt
Organism: Arabidopsis thaliana (thale cress)
Lineage: Eukaryota; Viridiplantae; Streptophyta; Magnoliopsida; Brassicales; Brassicaceae
Product: other RNA
Exons: 1
Source: RefSeq